AAACAAAUCCUGCAAAAGUCAGUUUGACCUGAAGGGUUCAUGCAGACUGGAAACAGCAGAAACAAGUUGAUUUGUGCAGAUCAAAGACGUCCAACAUGGCCGCCGGAGGAGACGUGAAGCUGCACUCUGUGACUCAGCGCUGACAUGUCAAACAGUGGAAACAGGUUUAUCUUUAGACUGUAAGAGCUUAAUAACAUAAUGGCUGCCGAGCAGGAAACUAUGAGUUCAUGUGAUACUGGACACACACUCGGAGUGUGUGUGUGUGUGUGUGUACAUGCACGUAUGAGCGUUUCAUCUGUUUUGUUGCACUAUAUUCAAAUUGAAACGCUGGCGUUCUUGCACACAGUGAGAGCUGUAAUUACCAGCUGUAGAAUGGGAAUGUAACAUGAUGUAGAGCUGGAUACCCUCUGAAGAUUUUUAAUCGUGGCAUAAAAUGUAAAAUGGGGUUAACCCGAGUUUCCAAACCGCAAACCGCAGAAAGCCAUCGCGGGCGGCAGGAUUGCAGCUGAGGUCGGCGGUUUGGCCCUCAUGAGAGGCCGAGGCCUCCGAACCCUCAGACUGAUUUACAGACUUUCAUGAAAAACACAUUCUGUGUUUUAAACGCUCGACUGCAACAUUAAUGAGUGUUUCUGCUGUGAGUUCUUAUCUCCUGCAGGGUUCAGCCUACAGAUCAGUGUUUCCACUGAGUCACAGCCAGUCAGAGUCUGCUGCCUUCAUCAGAAAACUCACCCAAUGUUCUGCACAUCAAUCCUUCAACAGGCCCAUUAAUCAUCUCACCUCCGCAGCAGAGUGUGAUGUUUAUUACUUCUGUCCUGGUGGAGAAGCUUUAUGCUUCUUUAUACAGACCAAAACUAAGAAUUACCUGGAAACACCUAAAAAAAUAUCUGGAAUUAUAUUUGCAUGAAAAGUAUCUAAAACUACCCAACGUUCAUGUACUGCACACGCAACAUAUCUGUGUUCACUUAGUGACCACCUGGUCCACACAAAGAACAUGUAAAACUACAUAAUGUGCAGGUAAAAUAUGAAGGAAUAUAUAUAUAUGAGGAACUACCUUGUGCAUAUGAGAAAGUAUCUAGAAAAACUUAUAGUGCACAACAAACCAUGCAGUUACCUGAUGUGCACACAAACAUGAUCUGGAAACAUGCAAGAAAAGUAUCUAAAACUACCAAACGUACAUGAAAAGAAGCACCAUACUGCACAUGCAACAUAUCUGUGUAUACCUAGUGCAUAUGAGAAACUGCAUGAGAAAGUAUCUAGAAAAACCUGUCGUGCACACAAACAUGAUCUGGAAAUAUCUAAAACUAACGUGCACAAGAAAGAAGGUGAGAAACUGGAUUCCAUCUAUCUGCUGACGUCUCCUCUGAGGCUUCACGUCUUUACAAACAGGCUGGUUUACAGUUCAGAAGAGUCUUUUUAUUCAUAAACAGUCUCUGAAGUGAUUUACAGCCAAACAGACACAUCACAGGACAGAUUUGAUGUCAAUAUUUUACUCCUUCAGUGCAGCUCAGCUGUUCAGCGAGACAGAAGACAGCGUAGCGAAUGGAUUACAUGACUUCAGGAAGGCCAAAUAUCAUCUGUGUGUAGCAGAGAUCUGUCCUCAGUCUGAUUAACUGCUGUCAUUUGUUUCCCAUCAGCCCCUCUGAGUGAGGAACGCCCUCGCUAUCAGUGUCCUCAUCGCCUCCUAAAAUACAUUUUAUCAGCUGCCGUUCGCACGGCGGCGGCGGCUUUGACCUCGCUCACUGUUUGUCAUCCGUCAGCUUUUAUCUGAUUAUCUGUUUCGCUCUUCUUCGCUUUUCAUCUCUUGUAGGACGACGUGCACGAAGCGAAGCAGCUGAUCGGUCCAGCCUGUUACAGCGAGGCCUCUUCUCACCGCCGUCAUGUUAGAAAUGAUUUACAUUAUCCUGCUAAAUGUGACACACUGUGACUGCUGCAGGUUUACACUCCUGCUGAUACUCAUCUCUUCUCUCUCAGGAGGUUCCAGAUCUCUGAAAGUUGAUUUUCACAGAAAUGCCAAGAAAUCUAAAAACUGACGGAGGAAGAAAACGAUCUGCAGGGAUAUGAACUACAUGAGUAAAAGCAGCACUAUGUCUCUUUAAAUGUGCAGUGACCCUCACAGUUCAGACCUUCAGUGGUCCGACAGCUUCUGUCCUCAGUAAAACAAAGUAUUGUUGCCUCUUAGCUGAUACAAAGUGCUGCAGCACAUCCUGCUUGUUCCCAGUGAGUCUCUGAAACCGUCGCCUGCUUACGUCAAAGUCCAACAAAGUAACAGAUGAUUGUUGAGAAAGUUACAGCGAGGCUGCAGCCUGAUGAAUGAACGCAGCUUCCUCCUGUAAUAAAACUGAAGCUGAAUGAAGUCGUUCAGACAGUAAAACUACAUGUCGAGUACAAUAUGGAGGUCAAAUAGUCUCUAGAUCAUCUUCAUCUAAUAUUUAAUAAUUAUGUGUUUGACAUCACAGCUUCCUCAGGCUCAUUAUUCCUGCUGCAGCUCAGCGCCGAGGUAGUUAGAUGAGUUUAUAGCUGCACAGAAUCAUCAUCAGUCGCUUUAUAAUAGAGACGAUGAAUAUAUGUACAAACGAAUCGGAAGCUUUUAGCAGUAGAGACCAUGAACACUACAGAAACAAUCAUGAUGAAUGAAUGUUCGACUAGUAAACAGUCUGAACUGAACAUACCGCUGGAUUCAGCUGCGAAUCUGCUGCGGUGAAUCUGAGCAGUGUUUCGAUCACUCAGCUCAGAGAAAAAGUGAAGCAACGACACAAACUACGGAUCUCUGAACAGAACGAAGAUGAUCAAUAUAUACAGCAGACAAAGAUGUCAGAUGAUGAUAAUCAGUCAAAGUGAAUCAUGUUCAUGAGUUUGUUGGAUUCUUUCUUCUGCCUGCAGCUGAUCAUCAGACACAAACUCAGACUACACGUUAUAGUAACGGAAACUCUUACAAUCUUAUAUUUGUACAUCUGUGAAUCAUCACAACUAACAUUAAUGUUCUAUUAUUAUUAUUAUUAUUAUUAUUAUUAUUAUUAUUAUUAUCUGCACAUUGCUGUUUAUACUACGAACAUUUCAUUCUCUUCUAUUUAAACUUAUAACAGCUGUUUUCACUUACAUAUAUUUUAUUGUAAAUUUCUAUUAUAUAUUCAUUGAUUACUUGAUUCUUGUGAAUAUUUUGAUCGGUAUGCACCAUAACAGAGAAAAAUUCCUUUAAUAUGCAAUCUACUAAACAAUAAACCUGUUUCUGAUUCAAACUCA
This is a long non-coding RNA of Thunnus maccoyii (southern bluefin tuna), 3240 nucleotides long. RefSeq lists it as uncharacterized. The transcript has 2 exons. NCBI's taxonomy places the organism in Eukaryota, Metazoa, Chordata, Actinopteri, Scombriformes, Scombridae. The record is from RefSeq and is a predicted model, not a curated record.